AACGAACGCUGGCGGCAUGCCUAACACAUGCAAGUCGAACGAGACCUUCGGGUCUAGUGGCGCACGGGUGCGUAACGCGUGGGAACCUGCCCUUAGGUUCGGAACAACUCCCCGAAAGGGGUGCUAAUACCGGAUAAUGUCUUCGGACCAAAGAUUUAUCGCCUUUGGAUGGGCCCGCGUUGGAUUAGCUAGUUGGUAGGGUAAAAGCCUACCAAGGCGACGAUCCAUAGCUGGUCUGAGAGGAUGAUCAGCCACACUGGGACUGAGACACGGCCCAGACUCCUACGGGAGGCAGCAGUGGGGAAUAUUGGACAAUGGGCGAAAGCCUGAUCCAGCAAUGCCGCGUGAGUGAUGAAGGCCUUAGGGUUGUAAAGCUCUUUUACCCGGGAUGAUAAUGACAGUACCGGGAGAAUAAGCUCCGGCUAACUCCGU
RNAcentral lists this ribosomal RNA (432 nucleotides) under uncultured bacterium. Its description in RNAcentral is "partial 16S ribosomal RNA". It matches the Rfam family "Bacterial small subunit ribosomal RNA", at positions 29 to 506 of the family's 1533-position model. The record is from RNAcentral.